Molecule: unclassified non-coding RNA, 314 nt
Filed under: plant metagenome
Description: partial contains 5.8S ribosomal RNA, internal transcribed spacer 2, and large subunit ribosomal RNA
Rfam family: 5.8S ribosomal RNA (bases 1-105)
Source: RNAcentral
GAAAUGCGAUAAUUAAUGUGAAUUGCAGAAUUCAGUGAAUCAUCGAGUCUUUGAACGCACAUUGCGCCCCCUGGUAUUCCGGGGGGCAUGCCUGUCCGAGCGUCAUUGCUGCCCUCAAGCACGGCUUGUGUGUUGGGCUUCCGUCCCUGGCAACGGGGACGGGCCCAAAAGGCAGUGGCGGCACCAUGUCUGGUCCUCGAGCGUAUGGGGCUUUGUCACCCGCUCCCGUAGGUCCAGCUGGCAGCUAGCCUCGCAACCAAUCUUUUUAACCAGGUUGACCCCGGAUCAGGUAGGGAUACCCGCUGAACUUAAGC